AUUGAACGCUGGCGGCAUGCCUUACACAUGCAAGUCGAACGGCAGCACGGGAGCUUGCUCCUGGUGGCGAGUGGCGAACGGGUGAGUAAUACAUCGGAACGUACCCUGAAGUGGGGGAUAACGUAGCGAAAGUUACGCUAAUACCGCAUAUUCUGUGAGCAGGAAAGAGGGGGAUCGCAAGACCUCUUGCUUUAGGAGCGGCCGAUGUCGGAUUAGCUAGUUGGUGAGGUAAAAGGCUCACCAAGGCGACGAUCCGUAGCGGGUCUGAGAGGAUGAUCCGCCACACUGGGACUGAGACACGGCCCAGACUCCUACGGGAGGCAGCAGUGGGGAAUUUUGGACAAUGGGCGCAAGCCUGAUCCAGCCAUGCCGCGUGAGUGAAGAAGGCCU
This 390-nucleotide ribosomal RNA is filed under the name uncultured bacterium. RNAcentral's name for it is "bacterial SSU rRNA". It matches the Rfam family "Bacterial small subunit ribosomal RNA", at positions 30 to 417 of the family's 1533-position model. The record is from RNAcentral.